This is a long non-coding RNA of Mus caroli (Ryukyu mouse), 467 nucleotides long. RefSeq lists it as uncharacterized. The record is from RefSeq and is a predicted model, not a curated record. NCBI's taxonomy places the organism in Eukaryota, Metazoa, Chordata, Mammalia, Rodentia, Muridae.
UCAUGUCUCCAUGGUGAUGGAUUGUGUUCCUUCUCCAACUGUGGCCCAGAAUCAACCCUGACUUCCUGAAGUUGAUUUUGUCAUUUUACUGAUAAAGCAGGGAGCCUCUCCCUCCGAAGACCACACCAGGUCACGACUGUAAAGGAAAUGAAAACCCAUGACACCACCUUGAACAGCCCAGAAGGACCCAUGAAGGCAGUGACAUUCCUGUGGUAAUCCCCACUGAUCCCACAUGUGAAACUCUCUCAGUAACCACACGGCAUUAACUGACUCUCUGAGGAAGUCAACAGGAAGCAAUGUGUUGCUGUCAUGAUAUUAAAUAUUUCAAUUAUGAAGACACCAAAAUUUUAAAUCACUGUGAAGAACAACUGUGGAAUGUGUUAAAGCUCUUCUGCAUGUCCUGGGCCCCACUGACUAAUUCUUAAAUAAACAAAUGUGCUUCUUUAUUUUCUCCCCAUCCCAUAAUA